Molecule: long non-coding RNA, 1045 nt
Organism: Scylla paramamosain (green mud crab)
Lineage: Eukaryota; Metazoa; Arthropoda; Malacostraca; Decapoda; Portunidae
Exons: 3
Source: RefSeq, a predicted model, not a curated record
GUAUUUAGAAUAUUAUAGAUUUAAGUUCAUGACCAAAAAAGCUAUAUUUAUAUAUGUGAUGUCUGCCAGUCUUUCUCUAUGGAAUCAUAAUUAAGUGUGAAUUUAUAGGUAAGCGUAAUAAAGUGUUUUAAGUGUUUCCCAGCUAGAUAUAUUCAGUUGCUGGCCACUGCAAGGCCAUUGGCCCAACAGUCUCCGCUGCUGGCCCUGGGCGUUAAUACCUUUGACCUGCUGAUCCAGCUGGCGAGGGGGGGGGCGUACACCCCUCACUACAGCCUGCAGUCACCCGCCUCACUUGUGCCUUCCUGAAGGAGGCAGGGCAGCCACCAAGCCUGUGGUUGGCUCACAGGAAGCCCCCAGAGCAUAAAAGUGACGAUGCAGGGGCAUCAUUGCAGCCCUAGAGAGGAAGAGGAACAUGGCUGAAGACUUGGUUAAAAGAUUAGUCAAAUAUAGGAUUGAAACAGAUCUUUAAAGUGUUCACAGCAAUUCGGCUUUCAUUUGUAAACAAAGAGCAGACAGCUAGGAAGAUGACACCAGCAGCGGCAGGCGGCGACAGGCAGUGUGACACCGUAGCCCUCCGCUCUGCCUGACAUGUGCUGCGUGCCACGCAACCAAACUCAAGUGGAACAUGCACUGUUACAUGUACCAGAUUAUCGGACACGCCUAACAAGUCUGGCGCCAUUCGUAAGGCAACAAAACUGCUUGUCUUGAAAGAAAGUCCAGUGACAGAGACAACCUUGGCCAGUGUUGUGUUCGCUUCCUGACAGGGCGGGGAUUGUGACCAGGAAUUUGUCCAGCUUCCUCUUUGCCUUGGAAAGUGCAUUCCUGGCUGAGUGUGGUGCGUGUGCCUGCUUCUUGUGUGGUGGUGCUGCUGCUGCGUGAAGCCUCUGCCGUGGGAACCCACCACAAAUAGCUAAUGGAUUCUGUAUGACGGGAUCAGCAGCAGACAGAAUUCCAGUGAUGUAUUAACAUGCCUAGGGACAGCCUUGGGGGCAUCCAUUACUGGCAGAAGCCCGAGUGUGCUGAGUGAUGGGGGCGGCAUGACCUU